RNA transcript from Malania oleifera, 2159 nucleotides. It is a transcript of the gene named isoprenylcysteine alpha-carbonyl methylesterase ICME-like, with no coding region annotated. The transcript is spliced from 14 exons. NCBI's taxonomy places the organism in Eukaryota, Viridiplantae, Streptophyta, Magnoliopsida, Santalales, Ximeniaceae. The record is from RefSeq and is a predicted model, not a curated record.
AUAAAAUAAGAAUUAAAAAAAUGAAACCGCGAUCUGCCAUCUUCAUCUCUCUCCCUCCUCUGGAAAUCAAAACUCCGAGCGUAUGAAGUAUCACCAUCUUCCCCAUCCCAUUCAUUUCCAAUUUCUCUCCCUCUAUGCAAAUCGAAAAUUUUAUAUUCUGAAAAAUCCCGAUUCCUCAAUUGCCCAUUUCCAAGUUCUCCCCUGUUUACCAUUUUCACCCAUUCUUGCACUCAACUCGACACAGAAUCUGUUGCCAGAGCAGCACGCCACAUCUCUCUCUUUUCUUCCUCUCUAUAAAUGGAACCCCAGAUCCUUCCUGUGUCUCUGGCAUCAUCGUCGUCUUCAUCAUCACUGCUACCACCAUCUCCGACUAUAACGGCCAUUUCUGCCUCUGCGGGCACAAUGUUACUGCAAGGACAGAACGAUCAAAUCCCCCGUCUUCUCCUUUCGUCAUCUUUGGAAGAUGAUAUGAGCAUGGACAUUAAACCCUUUCUCUCCCGGAGUUCGAGCUACUCCAGCGACGGCAGCACCACGGCCGCCGUUGGCAACAACAAUCAGCAACGCCGCCGUAGGGUUGCCAGUGAAACAUCGCUUCCUUCUGCCUCCGGUGGCCGUCGCCAGUCGUUCCAGCGCGAUGUUCGGCACGCUGCUUCUGAGACCUUUUUGCUGACUCGACUUAGCUUCAAGCUGUUGCGGUAUCUUGGGGUAGGCUACAGAUGGAUCAUGAGAUUUCUUGCCCUUGGUUGUUAUGCACUACUACUUAUGCCGGGUUUUCUUCAAGUUGGAUAUUACUAUUACUUCUCAAGUCAGGUCCGAAGAGGCAUAGUUUAUGGUGAUCAACCAAGAAAUAGGCUUGAUCUGUAUUUACCUAAAAAUAAUGAUGGGCCAAAGCCAGUUGUUGCAUUUGUAACUGGUGGAGCCUGGAUUAUUGGUUAUAAAGCAUGGGGUUCUCUAUUAGGGCAACAGUUAUCAGAAAGCGACAUCAUAGUAGCAUGCAUAGAUUACAGAAAUUUCCCUCAGGGGACCAUCAGUGAUAUGGUAAAGGAUGCUUCUCAAGGAAUCUCAUUUGUUUGCAAGAAUAUAGCUGAGUAUGGAGGUGAUCCUAAUAGGGUUUAUUUAAUGGGACAGUCUGCUGGUGCACAUAUUGCUGCUUGCACUCUCUUGGAGCAGGCACUUAAAGAGGCUGGUGAGGGAGAAAGUACUUCUUGGAGUGUCUCCCAGAUAAAAGCAUAUUUCGGUUUAUCUGGAGGGUACAAUUUGUUUGAGCUAGUUGAUCACUUCCAUAGUCGAGGACUGUACCGUUCCAUCUUUUUGAGCAUAAUGGAGGGUGAACAGUCUUUGAGGCGUUUUUCACCUGAAGUAAUGGUACAGGACCCAAGCAUUAGAACUGCCGUUUCUCUUCUGCCCCCUAUUAUCCUUUUUCAUGGCAGUGCAGAUUAUUCCAUUCCAUCAGAUGCCAGUAAAAAUUUUGCAGAUACUCUUCAAAGAGUUGGAGUUGAGGCUCAAUCAAUUUUAUAUGAGGGAAAAACUCAUACAGAUUUGUUUCUUCAGGAUCCAAUGAGGGGUGGUAGAGAUGAGAUGUUUGAAGAUUUAGUUGCCACUAUUCAUGCUGGUGAGGUGCAAGCUCUGGCUAAAGAUGUGGUAGCACCUCCUAGAAGACGCCUUGUACCAGAAUUAAUGCUGAAGUUGGCUCGUAGUGUCAGCCCAUUUUAGUUAUUUUGAGAGAAGUGUAGGAAGGCCAUUGGACCCAAACAAGCCUCUGGGUAAGACGGGCAUUGGCUUAACAUCGCUACCAAGGCCUUAAAAUUCAAAGCGGCUUGCAGGAUUGAGUGCAUGGGCCUCCACAGGUUUCACCACUUGAAAUUACACAACUCAUAUGGCAAUAGGAGCCCAUGAUAGGAGAGCGGGUAAAGCACCGUUGAUCUAGUACUGUUGAUCCGCCUUUCCAGAAGUGAGCCUCUGAUAGGAGAGCGGGUGAAGCACCGCUGAUCUAGUACUGUUGAUCCGCCCUUCCAGAAGGGUAAGUGCUUUGAUAGGGUCAGAUGUAUUUUGUGGAUGGCCCUAAGAUAUCUUUUGGGUUGUGUAUUAUGUGUAUAUAAAUACAGUGGUUGUAGUAACUCUGGUAUUGUGAUGUAUGAUAUAAUGAGAUGUAUAUGAUU